CUCAUUGGGGAUUCUGGGGUUAUAAUACAGGAAUUGUGGGUAAGUACAGUCACUUCUGCUCCAUGAAAGUGAGGUCAUCAUUCGUUUCAGGAAGUUGAGUGAGGCCUGAGACAGCAAUGUUUCGUUUAGCCUGGCGGUGGCCCUCCUUGUCUUCAAGAAGAGCAUCCGUGGCUAGCAGUGGAAGAUGGGGUUGGGCCCCAGGACUGACCAGGCAGUUCUGCCACCUUCUAGGAGUGUGAAAUUGGGAAGUAAUUCAAAAUGUAUGUGCCUAGCAUUCCUUUUAUGUAACAUGAGGGGAAUAGAAGUACCAAACCGAUGCAGUUCAGUGGAGAAUUAAAUGAGAUAGUCACAAGUAAAAGGUGGUAAGUGUGGUUCAUUUUAUUAAUUUUCUUUUAAUUUCCCGAGAAGCCCCAGUUACCUGAAAGCUUCUGUGAGCCUGGGAAGGGAUCAGAGUUCCACCUGCAGUGCUAUUUUGCCCCUUCUUUCUGAUCCUUACAGGAAGCAGGACGAUUCCUGGAUUCCCUUUUUAAAAAAAUGGUCACAGGAAUGAGGAAAGAAUGACUCUGGCUCCUAGCAGCAGAAUCUUAACUGAGUAUGACUUAGCAUCCUUCUUCUUGCUGUGUCAUCUCUCUUCUCAGGGCAGAAGAUAUUUACUAAUUAGCACAUUCUGCUAGCACAUCUGUGGGAAAAGAGACGCGAUCUUACUGCAUUGACCAG
This 717-nucleotide long non-coding RNA is filed under the name Homo sapiens (human). RNAcentral describes it as "HSALNT0305911". Lineage: Eukaryota; Metazoa; Chordata; Mammalia; Primates; Hominidae. The record is from RNAcentral.